This 573-nucleotide ribosomal RNA is filed under the name Omalisus sanguinipennis. RNAcentral's name for it is "SSU rRNA". It matches the Rfam family "Eukaryotic small subunit ribosomal RNA", at positions 32 to 583 of the family's 1831-position model. The record is from RNAcentral. Lineage: Eukaryota; Metazoa; Arthropoda; Insecta; Coleoptera; Omalisidae.
UUGUCUCAAAGAUUAAGCCAUGCAUGUUUCAGUACAAGCCGAAUUAAGGUGAAACCGCGAAAGGCUCAUUAAAUCAGUUAUGGUUCCUUAGAUCGUACCCACAUUUACUUGGAUAACUGUGGUAAUUCUAGAGCUAAUACAUGCAAACAGAGCUCCGACCGGAGACGGAAGGAGCGCUUUUAUUAGAUCAAAACCAAUCGGCGGCGGGUGCGAGCCCGUCGUCGUUCAAUCUGGGAAUCUGAAUAACUUACUGCUGAUCGCACGGUCUAGCACCGGCGACGCAUCUUUCAAAUGUCUGCCUUAUCAACUGUCGAUGGUAGGUUCCGUGCCUACCAUGGUCGUAACGGGUAACGGGGAAUCAGGGUUCGAUUCCGGAGAGGGAGCCUGAGAAACGGCUACCACAUCCAAGGAAGGCAGCAGGCGCGCAAAUUACCCACUCCCGGCACGGGGAGGUAGUGACGAAAAAUAACGAUACGGGACUCAUCCGAGGCCCCGUAAUCGGAAUGAGUACACUCUAAACCCUUUAACGAGGAUCAAUUGGAGGGCAAGUCUGGUGCCAGCAGCCGCGGUAAU